GUCGUGUGCAACCUAACUGUUUCAUUGAGUUUCAACAUCUCGUGAUAGUUUCAACACUAUAAAGUGCUCUUAUAUUUAUUUUAAAUUUUAAUCAUUACUUUCAAUUUUUUCCUGUGCCUUAGCUUCAAAUAGGUUCUGAAUAAAGUUUAUUUAUUUUUUCAUUAAGAAAGUUUUUUUUUUCCCCCCAUUUUUUUAAAGCAAGAUAAUUCAUUCAUAGAAUCGAAGGCAUACCAAGAGAGACAUGGUACAGUGGCCUCAUUAAAACCUUCCUAGGACAACCUCAUGGGACAAACACUAUAGAAGGAAAGGGUAUCACACAUGUCAUGGACUAACAAAAGAGUCUGAUUCAGGUACAAUAAUGAACAAAUCAAAAACGAAAACAAACAGAAAGACCUCAUAUGAGAAUCGCAACAGUAGACCCACAUGAGAGGACCGCAGAACAUCCCAAUUGUCAAAAGAAGUCGUGCGCCCACACAAACUAUAAGGCAUACCAAUAGCAGAAGCCAGGAGAGAAUACAGAGGAGGAAUCACAGAAUAAUAGUGAAAAGGACCCCUGAGAAGCACCCCACUUCAACUCAUAACCUGUCGAAGAAAUCCUCCUAUGCCCAAACAUAGUUCUUCGGUGGGCAUAGAGUAAAGAAUAGUUGCAAGGAAUCAACAAAACAGGGAAAAACACAGCAAAACAUAAACUAAAAACCCGCAACCUAGACCCCAACAAGAUUGGCUUCAUAGCUUGAUGAACUUCUAACAGAAGAACAUCAUAAUGGGAACAUUUAUCGGAUGCCAAACCCACAAACGUUCCGGCUAACACAUCAGGGAGAAUUGGGAGACCCCUCAAGGUUGGCCUCUAUCAUCUUAGAGGCAAACUCGUCUAUGCAGAUAAAUUGCUCAACAACAGUGAAAUCUCAAUCAACACUCGGAUCCGAGAGCCCCAUCACGACAGAACCCGUCAAGAGAGGAACAUAAAGCGCAACCAAUAACCCUAGCCGCCUAAAAUCAUGCCCAACACUUAGGAUCCUAGAACGUACAAAGGCCAUACUGUCUAAGGGCACCACUACCUGAAUCAACUACGGAGGAAAUGAGAAUACCAGAACCAGAUCUGAACCAAAACCCUUGCGAUUGGCUUGUGCAGAGGGCGAUACCACUACACAUACCAGUAGCCAAAAGAAAAUGAGAACACCAACAGCUAACUCGGAGAAGGGACCAGACUCGCUCCGAUGUUAAGGCAUAAAGCCCAUAGCGUAAGCCUCAAGCGACGCCAACGAACCAGCCCCACAACAAGAACAAAGAGAGCAUGACGGCCGACUGGGAAGAAAACCAAUCUGGGAGUGAAAGACAGAUAUGAGUGAACCAACGUAGGCUGUGAAACAGCGACAAUAAACAACGCCAGCGACAGAGUAAAGACGAUGAGGGAUGACGACGGCUAGACAUGGAAGAAGAAAACCCUAAAGAGACGCAAGGCUCUCCUCGCUAGUGAGAGAGUGAGUAUAUAUAUGUAUAUAUUCAUGGAUUCAAAUAGGUAAAUUUCCUUUAAAUUCAUGGAUUUAAACUUCCUUGGCUUGUUUAACAAUUGAACACUAAAACAGCGUUUUUUGUCUAAAGCUUUGUGAAGGAUUGGGCCAUAAACAUGUACUGCUUCGGUACUAAUGGAGCAUAGGAUUUUGGCUUCUUUUUUCUUUUCUUUGUUCAAUUUGAUUUUUGAUUUUGGGGUGUUAAUGUUAUUAUUUAUAGUGGUACUUUUUUUUUUCUUCAUGAGAUUUUCCUUUAUUUGGGGGUUUCUUAAGGCAAAGUUUUAACGAGGUCACUACUCCUCCAUCCAAUUUAGCCCCACAUGUAUUGUUUUAGGCAAUUUUUUUUUUCUUUUUUAUUGUUUUCUGGUGAUUGUUUUAGGCCUUGAAUCUUUUAAAGUUUACGCUCUUGUUCCUAGCUUUCACGUUGGUUUUUCGGAUGUUGUCACCCUCUCCACUGUAUACUCUUAUGGUGUGUAAUACAGCAUCUUUAACAAACCAAAACAAACCCCAACAAAAAAAAAAAAAAAAAAAAAAAGGGUCAAAACAAAUUUCAUAAAAUUUCCACCCAAAAAAAUUUACAAAAUUAGUGAAACACCCGUUUCUAGACAUGAAACUAUAAAUAUA
Molecule: long non-coding RNA, 2135 nt
Filed under: Prunus persica (peach)
Lineage: Eukaryota; Viridiplantae; Streptophyta; Magnoliopsida; Rosales; Rosaceae
Description: long non-coding RNA (PPER_LNC001201)
Source: RNAcentral